CACACUAGUUAUUUUCAAUUUUAUACCAAUUACUACCUUAACGCUUUGUAUAUUGAUGUUGAUUUUAUUUCUUGUUAGAUAAUUGUUAUUAAUCCAUUGUGCCAAUCAAGUUAUAGUGUUUAAGUAACAAUUUGUGAGAAGUCAACGCAUACAAAUAACCAAACCUAUCUUUUGAAGGAGAAAAUAGAAGUAACACCAAUUUUACAGCUCACAAUUAUUCUUUGUUCAGAUGAAUUGUUAUUAAAGUCAUUGAAAGUUAUACACAUAUUAUGUCUGAAAAGCAAAGAAUAGAUAAUCUCAAAAUAUGUUUCUACUAUUCUCUUUUUUAAAUAUACUGUACUAUUUGUUAAACCCUUUGUAUUGUUUCUUUUUGACAUUUUGUUUUAGAAAUUUGAAGAAACAUACAAAUUUCCUUCCCACAUCUUAUUACCGGCUGGCAUUACGGUUGAUACAAUAUAUCCCGAUUCAAAGGCAUUAAACACUAUCAUUUUUGCUACCGUGUACAGCAGAUUUUUGAUUGCCGUUGUUAUUCAAUAAAUUUUGACCUGCCUUAUUUGCUGCAUCUGCAGUGGCAAUAGUCGAUGAUAUGGAGUUCUUCUGAGUUUUUCCGAGGGUGGGUCGUUUUCAGCUGUCUCGUUUCAAUAGCAGUAUUAAUAUUCAGUAACAAAACUAUGAUGGGGACAUGUGGCAAGUAUUGUUAUAUAAACACUUAUAUUUAAUUGAAAAACUAGAUUUAUUUUCACAUGUCGGUUUUUUUUGCAACAAUUAUUCACAACUAUCACCAGGAGAUAUUAAAACUUUGUAGUUUAAAUAUAGUCUCUAUGCAACUAUCAUUUGCUUGAAGUAAUAUUUGGUUAUAACCUUUUUGAUUGACGACGUUCUAUAUGCAGGAAACGACGUGGACUUAAAUUUCAUCAUUCUAUCAUUGUUGUAUUAGUGCUUUUGAGAGAA
Molecule: long non-coding RNA, 951 nt
Filed under: Mytilus galloprovincialis (Mediterranean mussel)
Lineage: Eukaryota; Metazoa; Mollusca; Bivalvia; Mytilida; Mytilidae
Source: RNAcentral